CAAUGACGUGGUGGAUUCCUCCAAGUGCUACCAGACCAUCUGUGUGGACAAUUCCACCAAACUAGAACUGAGGUGUGACGAGGGACCAUCGGGACCACACCACUGCAACGAAGAUGAAGAUUACAUCCCCCCCUCGGACGACGCGGAGGCGGAGGGACAGAACUGCUGUGGAAGGUGUGAGAAGAAGGCCUGCCGAUCAGAAGAACUCUGUCUCACUGUCAACCUCACUAAGACCGACUCGUCGUACUGUGGAGAACGGAACGUCACGAUCAACAAGUGUUCCGGAAGCUGCGGACCCUCGGGAGCAUCGCCUAUGUCUCUCGGAGACCCUUCAGUCGACCCGGGUGACCUCUACUUCAGCAUCCAGGCUGGAAAGGAGCAGUGGACUCUGAAGACAGAGUGCAAGUGUUGUACUGGCGACAUGGUUCUGAUAAAGAGGAAGAUAUCAUGUGACGAUGGAUCCAUGGAGACGUUCUCGGUUCCGACUGCCACUAAUUGCGAGUGUCGCGACUGUGACCCAGGGACUAAGGGUAGUCCUGUUUGAGAGUCUCCUAUACAAUCUGAAGUAUCGACGAAAAACGGACACGACAAUUUUGACUCAACGGACGACAAUGCCAAUGCGAACAGAAUGAUGCGAGAGCAGAUUUAGUUCAACUUGUUCUUCAUUUUAUGAGGAAUUAAAGAGGAACGUACAAAUUACAAAUCUGCUGGCGCAAACAUUCUGUUACAAAAGUCACUCAAUUGUCUUUGCAGAAAACUAGAUCGACAAAUGGCCUGCUUCACAUUAAAUGGCGAAAGAAGGUUGCGGACUUGAAAUGGAUCACUCACUUGGGAAUAGGGUUAAAUUG
Molecule: long non-coding RNA, 848 nt
Organism: Symsagittifera roscoffensis
Lineage: Eukaryota; Metazoa; Xenacoelomorpha; Acoela; Convolutidae
Exons: 4
Source: RefSeq, a predicted model, not a curated record